RNAcentral lists this long non-coding RNA (285 nucleotides) under Phascolarctos cinereus (koala). RNAcentral describes it as "lncRNA (ENSPCIG00000002925.2)". The record is from RNAcentral. Lineage: Eukaryota; Metazoa; Chordata; Mammalia; Diprotodontia; Phascolarctidae.
GCUGACAUGAGUCAGCUAGCUAGCUUCGCAUGUCUGUUACAGGCAUCUCUUCCUGUGUGAUGGAGGUAGAAGAGGUUGAACCACCUGAUGAGGUUACGGACAGGAGAUGUCCUUAAUCUUCUCAAUGAGGCUUUCAAAGUAACACAGUGGACAGAGCUCUGGGCCUGGAGUCAGGAAGACCUGAAUUCAAUCUGGCCUCUGACAGUUACUAGCUGUGUGACCCUGGGUAAGUCACUUAACCCUAUGUGCCUCAGUUUCCUCAUCUAUAAAAUGGGGAUAGUGAUA